This 176-nucleotide small RNA is filed under the name uncultured Prevotella sp. Its description in RNAcentral is "Bacteroidales-1 6S-Bacteroidales RNA suggested". It matches the Rfam family "Bacteroidales-1 6S-Bacteroidales RNA suggested". Lineage: Bacteria; Pseudomonadati; Bacteroidota; Bacteroidia; Bacteroidales; Prevotellaceae. The record is from RNAcentral.
CGUGCCGAUUCGAUCGGGAUACUCAUCAAAUAACAUUGAAACUCGGGCUGUCUUCUCUUGCCGAUGGCGGGCCACUAACCAAGCUUCCCAACCGAAUGCCGGUGGAUUACAAAGACGGAGAGCACCCAUAUCUUGUGACCAAGGAGUUUUCAUCACAUCAGCGGUGCGCCCCUUUU